UCGAGGCCCCUGGCUUGUAAUAUAAAACUUGUAUUAUUUCAUUUGGUGUCUAGAGUUGUGUUGUGAUAUCUUCCCGUGAGUCCCUGAUCUUGAUCGUACACAUUUGCGUGUAUGAUUAAUGUACGAUUAAAUCGGGGGCGUCACUUCCGAUCUUCAGAUCUUCCGAUCUUCAGAUCUCCAUAUUUGGUGACUGCGGUGUUUUGAUAUUUCGUUGGAUUACUAUCUGUAUUUGGGGAUUAGCUAUGAAUUAAUGUUUUUACUUCGAGCAUGGAUAGUCGGCAGUACUGAUUUAGGUCUUUUUGUUGAACAGAAUGAUUAGCUCGUCUAUUUCUGGAGAACUGCACUAUAGAUGAUAUAUUUAUGAACGAUCUUAACACUGAAAAUGCAAAAUUUCUGGAAAAUUCCCAGGGAUUUGAUUGACGGAUGCAUCAAUAUUUGACGUUGGAUUAUCCAUUUUUGCAGCACUAGCAAUGUUGUUUUUGUUUGGAAUGGCCAGUUCUCAAUUUCUAUUCUGUUAUCAACGAUAUUGUACUUCUUGUCAGGUUACAUUAUCUUACUUGGUUUCAGUGUAUAUGUAGCACAAAAAUAGGCAACAUGGUUGUUUCAUGCUCGAUUUGGUUUGUAGGUUACACUAAGGAACACCAUCAUAAGGAAAAGGGCAUUGCACUGCGUUCUUUAUAAUUGGCCUGUUACUAUUCGGUCUGCUGUAGUACUUAAUUGCUACACCAUUUCAAGUUAUGUAGUCUAAAAUAACCCUUUCAAAUGAACCUUUUUAAUUGAUAUUCAGAGCAUCAACAUGGUGGACUAGAUCAUGAAAUCAACUAUGAUCAUGAGAACUUGAAGCUAUUUGUUGACUAAAUUGUCAAUUGUUUUGCGUGAAUUGAAACUGGCAGUGUGAUGACAUUACUGUAGAUGCCUUGCUAUAUACAUUUGCCUAAUCCUCUCUCUCUCUAAUAUGUUCUCUUUUGUGAAGAUCCUUCGCAGAUCAAUUGGUGAGGCAGAAUGCUAAGCAUUGUUUCACAUUCAGGUUUGCUAUCAAACUCUCAAAAAGGAAAAACAACUUUACUCUGUUUUUUGGAGAACCUUCCUGUAGAGUACCUCGACAGAGACAAAUAUGCGAUCAAGGAUAUAUUCGAUGGAUUUUCAUGCAAAAUUUGGAGGAUAUUUUUGCAGAUAGUUUGGUGCUCUCAUGGUUAUUUUGUAGUGAUUUUCCUUCUGUUCAUUACUUGGUAACCAUCUACGGCAGCUCAGCUAUUGUCCAGCUGCUGACCUUGGUGAGUGAUUGAUGGUGCAUGUUUUUCUAUUAGUUUCUCUCUAUGCCAAUGUCUGAAUUUUAUCUUGCCGUUUUGCAUUUCUCCAGGCCUUUCAAUCUCACUGUGAUUCCCCGAGAUGCGCUAUUAGUAGGCAUCCACUUUGUAAUAAAAAUUUGGCAGUCAACCUGAAACGAGUCAUUUAUCUAGCUACAGCAACCUUCCUUGCUUUUGCAAAUAAUACUGUAUGGUUGACACUAUAGUCUAUACCUGCCAAAUAUUUACACGUUAGUAUAGC
Triticum aestivum (bread wheat) is the source of this 1548-nucleotide long non-coding RNA. RefSeq lists it as uncharacterized. The record is from RefSeq and is a predicted model, not a curated record. NCBI's taxonomy places the organism in Eukaryota, Viridiplantae, Streptophyta, Magnoliopsida, Poales, Poaceae. The transcript has 4 exons.